This is a long non-coding RNA of Anas platyrhynchos (mallard), 2237 nucleotides long. RefSeq lists it as uncharacterized. The record is from RefSeq and is a predicted model, not a curated record. Lineage: Eukaryota; Metazoa; Chordata; Aves; Anseriformes; Anatidae.
UGCAUUGUCUGUCCUUUGCAAAGGGCUUUGUGGACAUCUUUGGUAUUACUGCUGCCUGCUCCCUAUAAAUCAUGCAUGUUUGUUCUGACGAGUGGAUAUUCUGUAGUUAUAAGAAACACAUGUGAAAAUGUCCUGCUGAUACAGUGAUUAGUCACAGAGGGAGGAACAUGGCUCCUUGUUUCUUCAGGUGUUAGUGAUUUCAUAAACACUUUUAGAUGAGGCAGAGAAUCCUUAGCCAAAUUCUCCAGUAUUCUUACUGCAGAGCACAGGCCAGACAAUGCUGGAGAGAGACUGAGGUCAAAAAAAUAUAUAAAUAGGACAUUCUGUGGUAUCCAGGUAUCUCUAAGCAACAACUUGUUGCUCUACUGCCAAAAUAAGUUCUUACUGCAGUUGUACUUGAGAGGACAAUGCAGCUGUGGGAGAACAAAGCGGAUUGCCUUCUCUUUUGUAUAUUGUUAGAAAAUGAUUACUGAGCUGCUGGCUGCAGAAUGACUUUUUAGAGUGAUGAUGCAUCGUAGAAAAGCAUAAAGCUCAGAACAAAAAGAAAGGAUUUUCCAACCUCAGGGUGACCUUAUGGGAUUGACUGCUUAAGAAAAUCCUUUUGCUUUGGAAAUGAAUCAAGUCUGAGCCAGUUUUGUUGAUGGACAACAUAGACUGAAAUGCAUUUUUAAGGGACCAGUCUGUAAUGUAAUAGCAAAUAGUCUUCAUCUGAAAGCUCUGGCCUGGAGUAUUGUGAGUAGAGUGCAUGACAUGAUGCCACGGGACCUUCUUCUUCUGUUAAAUGCAUUAGCCUAGAAUAUUUGGCUCAACAAAUUCGCAUGCAAAUCUGAGGAACGCGACGGAAAGUUUUCAUUUAUCAGUUGCAGGGUAAGAAACUCUUGACCAUCUAUGGCUCAAAUGAGCAGUAAGCAAUGUGCAGUAAGAAGGGGAGCGCCAAGAAGGCCUGUUGGGUCUUGGUGGCCCAACGUGUACCAUAUCACUCCAGGGGUCCCAGCUAUAACAUGAACAGUGAGCAAUGUAGAAAAGGUUCCACCCCAGCCACCACAAGAAAAGCUGCCUGAAGCACCCAGAGUAGACUGUAGCUGGAUGCACCCAUCUUGCUCUGCAUAAGGGUGACUUCCUGACCUGCUGAAACAAUAACAAACGAAAAGGACAUUCCCAGCAACAGCAGUUGCCAGAGAGGACAUCACCUGAAGACAUAAUUCUUGAAAUACAUCUGUCCAUGUCAGAUUCCAUUCAAUCAUCUAAUCAUCUGCAACCUUUUAUGGAAGUGUUUUAUAUUUUCUCUUUUUUUUUUAAUUUUUUUUUAUAAAGCCAUUUUACAAAUGUCAUUAGUGAUUUUUCCAAAUAAAAUAAUACAGAUCUUCUUGCAUAGGGAUUAGUUAUAACAAUGAAUAAUCAGUAUAUUCAUCUCAUGUUGUACAUUUACCUUGAUCUUUUGAAUUAUAAUUCAGAGCACAACCUGCUCUGGUUACUCUGCAUUGCCCUUUGGAGAAAUGUAUUUCUCUCCAUUGAUUAACUAGCUAGAUGCUUAAAGUUAGACCUAAUGUGAGUACUGUUUCUGGAAAGAGUGGAAUUACACUGAUUUAUGCAAAUUUAAGGGGUGGCCAGAUAGCCCUAAUUAGAUCUUAUUGCUAAUAAUGACUUCUACUUUAGUUACAAGGUGUACUUUUGUGUGGCAGUAUCCAUUUAGUUUCAUUAAUAAGGCUACAGGCUUCAUAGUCAGAGUUGUGUCCUUUUUUAUUAACCUUUUCUCUCUCAAGAUAUGCUAUUCCCACAGCCACCACCCUGUUUACUUUUAGGGCAGCGCUGCAGAUACUGACAAGCAUCUUAUCAGUUAUCAGUUAUCAGUUAAUCUGAGUUACCCACCAUGAUGCUCUCAACAAUAUUUCAGCUAGCUCAUAAACUUUAACGGCAGGCCAUCUGGCCCAGUUGCAUUAAAUUGCACUGUCUAAAGUGAAUGUCACUUAAAAAAAUACGUUUAUGUCCAUUUUUCUCCUGCAUAAUUCGAUAUAGAAUGAUUCCAGAAGGCUUACGCUGCAAGAGAUGAAAAUAGAAAAAGUUUAAUCUGGAAGGAAGUGUUUAAAAUUACUCUUCAGGUAGGGCUUCCAUUUCAGAAGUAGAGCACUACCAGACUUUGUAUAUUCAGAUUUUCUGAACUAUGAAAACUUUCCGAUAGCACAGUUGCUUGCUCCAUAAGGGCUCAGUUAUUUGGAUUGACAGAAAAAGUCUAGAAA